GCGCUGCGUUGGGCUCACACCCUCCCCGGCGCUCGCGGGCAUGGGAGGUCUAUCUCGCUUUCUCCUUCUGUCUUGGGCUGUGGGUGAAUGUGUGAGAGAAAGGAAGAGUGAGUGUACGGUGCGAGGAGUGUGAGUGGGGAGUGUGAGAGAGCAGGGGUGGGAGGUUUCGGAUCUCGGAUGAAUCCGCUCAGCCGGAAUGCCGCGGGGCGCAACGCGCCAAGGGCCCGCGCCGGGCUAGGGACGCGGGUGCCAGUGCCCCCCAGGCAAGCAAGGGAUGGUGCGCGAGAGCCGUGCUGCCGUCUGCGCCCGCUCGUCAGUCUCCCCUCUGUGCCUGCCGCCGCCGCUACUGCUGCUGCUCCCCCUGCCGAUGCCGCAAACUACUGGCGGUGGAGUCUGGAGAGAGCAGGAGAGAGCCGGAGCUGCUGAGACAGGCUACGCCAGGCACUGGCCAAUCAGCGCUCAGCCCAGCGGGCCCCCGCCUUGGGGCGGGGCCAAUGCGCGGGAGGGGGCGGGGCCAGCCGGAAACUUACACACUGGCGGGACCAAGUGGUACCCCGGCCCGCCGAGGCAAGGCAGCAGUCUGGGAGGCCAGUCAGGCCCAGCAGGGGCCAGAAGGCAGGGUGGAGCAAGUCGAGGGGUGCGCUGGAGCUGCAGCUGAGCCUCCCCAGGAACUGCGCGCCUCUCGUGUUUGUAGAGAUUGCAGGAGAGAUGAGGAUUUGAUUCUCUCGGUUUGGUCUGUCGGUUUCUCUUUCUUCUUCUCGGUUAGUGGAAGGAAGAAAGGGAAGGAGAAAGCGCCCCAGACGUGGUCAUUCAUCCAGCUCUUGGCCAGUGACUCUUCAGCUAAGAGCCGCGGCAGCCAUCCUCCCGGACCGUCAUCCCAUCCCUCCUUUCGGAGCAGACCUGCGAGCCUCCACCCCCACCCCUGGCGCAAGCAGGGUCCCUGACCCGGUUCGGUUCGCUCUUGUCUGUUGUCUGUUAAUCAAAUGGGAUCUGUGGCGCAGGGACUGAGCCACCCAGAGGGCUGGACAUAUUUCGUUGCCCCUCACCCAACCCCACUGGAGAAUUUAGCUCCCUAUAAAUAAACUGUACAUUUGAGAAGAGCAGGUGGGCGGACGCCGCCGCACCGCGCCAAGCUAGGAGAGCCGAGAGCCCAGAGGGAGGUGUGGAGCUGGUGCGGGGGCGUGGGACGGUGGCUGGCGUGUGUCGGUGCUGAGAAGCGGGAGGCCGGCGUGGCCGGGGUUGAUAUCAAACGGCUUCCCUUCUGGACUGAAGGCGCCCUGGGGACAGAGGGGGACUCCUCCCUGGCCCGUCCUGAUUCUCUUAAUUAAGGUCAUGGGCUGGAAGAAUCAAAAGUACUUCUCUGAACAAGUUGGGAUGUUUUGUUUUUUCAUCAUAGAUUGGGGGUGGAGGAGGGCUGGCUUCUGAAUUCACAAUUCUUGAAAGAGUGCAUCACCCUUCUGAGUGAAUAGUCUUGGAUAUUUGGGAGUCUUGGGUGAGCAAAUUCAUAAUUAAGCCAGAGACACUGGCCUGAGCCUGUGUGCUUAAAAUGAGACUCACUUUUGCCCUUUUAAAAACAUUAAAUAAGGGGAAAAGGCAUUUGAACACAUAAUAGGUUUUCUCAAAACUGCCAUGUUUUUGCAGAGAACAGCCUAGCUGCUUUUUAAAAAUAUUUCUUUUCCCAAGAGGAGCUAGUUUAGCGGCCUUUACUUUGGCAGGAGGAAGAAGAAGACAGCUUUCUCCCUCAGAAAGGAAUUGUUCUGGGAUUGAGUUUGAGACCGCCCCCCCGCCCCCCGCCCCAACGUGCAUCUGAGACCAAGGGGAGGGCGCAAAGAGCUUGAUCCGCUUUCCGCGUGGGGGUCGUUUCACUCUCUCAUAUUAGGAUGCAAUUCAGCCCAGAACAUCUAGGAGAAAAUCGAAGCAUCUGCAAUGAGUAUCAUUUAAUUUGGUCAUUUAGAGGUGCAGGUGAACAACAGAGUUGUGACUCGAGGGAGCCGCGUGGCCCGCCUGCUUUUCCGCAGACCCUGCCUGCCGAGGACAGUGACAACAUGGCAGGCAACGCGGAUGCACCUCACAGGCUCCGCAAAGAAGGGCUCCAUUUGAUUUAUCGCAGUUAUUUACCUUUGAUGCCAGCGAGUGGGAAUGAAGUGCAUCUUGGUCUAAUUAAAACGGCCUAAAAGGCAUUUGAAAUGGGCUGCUAUCUGAUCACGGGAUAUGAGUUCGGCAUUUGGCAGCGUUCUAAAAUAUUGCUUGGACUAUUUAAACAGAACAAUUAGCAGCAUGCUAAAAUGUUUGCAUGCUAUGCUUAGAAGCUUUAGCUGUAAACUUUAAGGCGAUCUGUUCUCCUUUAAGUCAAAAAAGGAUGAUGCUGCUUCCUUGUGGCGAAGGCUGUCAGGAACCCACUGAUCAAUAAAAGUAAACUGGCGCCUCCAUGGCUUGACUGAGCGGGAGCAAAGAGUCUGAGAAGUAGUCUCGGCCAUUAACAAUCCCCCAGGUAACGAGAAAUGGAAGAAUUACUCAGGUAAAAUGAUUAUCAUUGCCGUGGCAUCUGAAAAGACGCACACAACAAGAUAAGAGGGCUGAGGAUCUCUUACCUUGGGGAAUGCUAAUAGAAUGUCUAUAGUCUGUUGUCUUUAAAAGAUAAAUAAGAGAAUUCAAUCCAUGUACAAUGUCAUUACCUUUGUAAUUGCAAUCACAUUGUAAAGACAUGUUCUGCAUUUGCAAAGACAAAUGUGCUCGCUUCGCUACAGAGAUCACACGGGGUGCCCAGGGUCCUGCUCACUGUUCACACUCAAUGCUCCCCGCCUUUCCAAGUAGAACACCAGAAGUAUUCCCAGCUAUACUAAACCGCUUUUAUGAAAACCAGGUGCCAGGGAGGCUGGGCCGUGUGCCUCUGCUUUCCUUCCUUCUCAUCACCCGCAAGCUCAAAGUGAUAGUGACACCUCCCCUCCAAAACAUAGUUCUUCCAUCCCCCUGGUCUACUUCCACAGAUAGCCGUAAUACAGCCGCCGCCGUUUGCUCUCAGAAUGUAUUUUUUGCUAAUAGACGCACGUUAUCAUUAUACUCCAACAAUGUUUGCUAAUAAACACACUUGAUCAUCGUACUCCAACAAUGCUACUAAGUGAGUAGCCGAAAACACCUUCACGAU
RNAcentral lists this long non-coding RNA (3145 nucleotides) under Ovis aries (sheep). RNAcentral's name for it is "lncRNA (ENSOARG00000025410.1)". The record is from RNAcentral. Lineage: Eukaryota; Metazoa; Chordata; Mammalia; Artiodactyla; Bovidae.